This 429-nucleotide ribosomal RNA is filed under the name uncultured bacterium. RNAcentral's name for it is "bacterial SSU rRNA". It matches the Rfam family "Bacterial small subunit ribosomal RNA", at positions 355 to 775 of the family's 1533-position model. The record is from RNAcentral.
UGGGGAAUAUUGCGCAAUGGGCGAAAGCCUGACGCAGCGACGCCGCGUGGGUGAUGAAGGCCUUCGGGUCGUAAAGCCCUGUCAAGAGGGACGAAACCUCGUCGACCUAACACGUCGGCGACCUGACGGUACCUCUGAAGGAAGCACCGGCUAACUCCGUGCCAGCAGCCGCGGUAAUACGGAGGGUGCAAGCGUUGUUCGGAAUCACUGGGCGUAAAGCGCGUGUAGGCGGCCUUCUCAGUCUGGUGUGAAAGCCCGGGGCUCACCCCCGGAAGUGCAUUGGAUACUGGAAGGCUGGAGUACCGGAGAGGAGGGUGGAAUUCCUGGUGUAGCGGUGAAAUGCGUAGAUAUCAGGAGGAACACCGGUGGCGAAGGCGGCCCUCUGGACGGAUACUGACGCUGAGACGCGACAGCGUGGGGAGCAAACAG